GACGAACGUUGGCGGCGUGCUUAAUACAUGCAAGUCAACUGAAGCAGUGGUAGCAAUAUCGCUGUGGAGGUGGCGCACGGGGGAGUAACACGUAGGUAAUCUGCCUUCAGGUCUGGCAUAACUCCGGGAAACCGGGGCUAAUAGCAGAUGAUGCAGCGGCUCGACAUCGAGACAGUUGUUAAAGCUAUGGCGCCUGAAGAUGAGCCUGCGUCUGAUUAGCUAGUUGGCGGGGUAACGGCCCACCAAGGCAACGACCAGUAGCUGGUCUGAGAGGAUGAUCAGCCACACUGGAACUGCGGCACGGUCCAGACUCCUACGGGAGGCAGCAGUAAGGAAUAUUGCUCAAUGGGAGAAAUCCUGAAGCAGCAACGCCGCGUGAGGGACGAAGGGCUUUUGCUUGUAAACCUCUGUAGUGAGAGAAAAAAAUCCCAAUCUUUGGGACAUGAUGGUAUCUCAAAAGUAAGCCCCGGCUAACUACGUG
Molecule: ribosomal RNA, 481 nt
Filed under: uncultured bacterium
Lineage: Bacteria
Description: partial 16S ribosomal RNA
Rfam family: Bacterial small subunit ribosomal RNA
Source: RNAcentral